GACGAACGCUGGCGGCGUGCUUAACACAUGCAAGUCGAACGAUGAAGAAAAGAAUUGAAGCUUCGGCAGAAAUUCAUUUCGGAUUAGUGGCAGACGGGUGAGUAACGCGUGAGCAACCUACCUCUUACAAAGGGAUAGCCUCGGGAAACCGGGAUUAAUACCAUAUAACAUUGCGACGAAGCAUUUCGAUGCAAUCAAAGCUACGGCGGUAAGAGAUGGGCUCGCGUCCCAUUAACCAGAUGGUGAGGUAACGGCUCACCAUAGUAACGAUGGGUAACCGGCGUGAGAGGGUGAACGGUCACACUGGAACUGAGACACGGUCCAGACUCCUACGGGAGGCAGCAGUGGGGAAUAUUGCACAAUGGAGGGAACUCUGAUGCAGCGACGCCGCGUGAGUGAUGAAGGAAUUCGUUUCGUAAAACUCUGUUCUAUGGGAAGAAAAGGACUGUACCAUAGGAGAAAGCUCCGGCUAAAUACGUG
This 480-nucleotide ribosomal RNA is filed under the name uncultured bacterium. Its description in RNAcentral is "partial 16S ribosomal RNA". It matches the Rfam family "Bacterial small subunit ribosomal RNA", at positions 28 to 507 of the family's 1533-position model. The record is from RNAcentral.